Molecule: transfer RNA, 73 nt
Filed under: Candidatus Woesearchaeota archaeon
Lineage: Archaea; Nanobdellati; Candidatus Woesearchaeota
Description: tRNA-Asn
Rfam family: tRNA
About the family: Transfer RNA (tRNA) molecules are approximately 80 nucleotides in length. Their secondary structure includes four short double-helical elements and three loops (D, anti-codon, and T loops). Further hydrogen bonds mediate the characteristic L-shaped molecular structure. tRNAs have two regions of fundamental functional importance: the anti-codon, which is responsible for specific mRNA codon recognition, and the 3' end, to which the tRNAs corresponding amino acid is attached (by aminoacyl-tRNA synthetases). tRNAs cope with the degeneracy of the genetic code in two manners: having more than one tRNA (with a specific anti-codon) for a particular amino acid; and 'wobble' base-pairing, i.e. permitting non-standard base-pairing at the 3rd anti-codon position.
Source: RNAcentral
GCCUCCGUAGCUUAGUAGGUGGAGCGCGCGGCUGUUAACCGCGAGGUCGCCAGUUCGAGUCUGGCCGGAGGCG